UGGCUCAGAAGGUAAAGCAUCUGCCUACAAUGCAGGAGACCCAGGUUCAAUCCCUGG
This 57-nucleotide transfer RNA is filed under the name Ovis aries (sheep). It matches the Rfam family "tRNA", at positions 8 to 63 of the family's 71-position model. Rfam says of the family: Transfer RNA (tRNA) molecules are approximately 80 nucleotides in length. Lineage: Eukaryota; Metazoa; Chordata; Mammalia; Artiodactyla; Bovidae. The record is from Rfam by way of RNAcentral.